GGUCCUCACGGAGGCUGCAGGAGGGUUGGCGGCACAGUUCUGGGGCAGCGGAGCGCUCAGCGAAGGAUGCCGGGGUCCGUCCCCGUCCUGUCUCUCUGACAGAUUAGGAACGGAGACGCAGAGAGUCCGGUUCAGUUCCUGGUUCUGAGGCACAAAGCAGAUUUUCUGAGGUAGAGAGGACUCCCAUCUGGAAGAUGGCUCAUCUGAAUGGAGACCUCCCAGGCCUCCCAUCAGGAGUGCAGAAGAGAAGAGGACGGAGGCCAAGAAAGCACACACUCUAGGUUUGCAUGGUAGUGGCAAUAUGUGCUCCUCGUGCUCCACAAGCCACCCUUCAAACUGUGACAACCUGAGGUUUGAGACAAGUUUCAGGAGAGACUGAUAACAAACUGUUUGUGGGCUGGCACCAGUCUACAGGCUACACGCUGAAAAGCAGAGGACAGAAUAUACACAAAACAACCGAGAGCCAAGUGAAGCCCAAAGGAGCAAUUCAUGCUGAGCCAGGGAAGUGCCCAGUAACCUUCAGAAGAGCUCACACAUUAGGCCUGAAGCUGAAGGCACUACUCACUCCCUCCUCAGGAAACUGAGAACAACUAGCCCUCCCUUACCCCACUCCUCCUACAGGAAUGACUUGACUCUCCUGGUCACCAGUGGAGAAGGUGAUAAUGAGGCAGGUGGCAAUUUCCCCUCAAGGUCACAGGUCUCCACUGUGUCUGAGGAAGAGGGAUGAGAUUGGGCUACAGAAGUCUGCAAGACCCUGCACAAAGGUGGGACAAAGAAGUGAAAGUGAAGUAGGUCUGGAAGGUAGUGGUGCUUAGGAACCUUAAUUCUUAAAAACCACCACAGACAAUUCUGAUGCACAGCCCGGUUGAAGAUCAUUUUUGAGUGAUUUGAAAGAAAGGUUAUGGCCAUUCUCAGGAAGACGGUAUUUUGGAAGAAGAAACACCAACUCACCUGGAACUUGGUCAUUUCCUCCUCUCAGGACAGAGUUAGGGAAAGAGGAAAAGCCAUGAAAAGCAGUCCACCUCGCA
This is a long non-coding RNA of Rhinolophus ferrumequinum (greater horseshoe bat), 1028 nucleotides long. RefSeq lists it as uncharacterized. The transcript is spliced from 5 exons. The record is from RefSeq and is a predicted model, not a curated record. Lineage: Eukaryota; Metazoa; Chordata; Mammalia; Chiroptera; Rhinolophidae.